AUUGACAGCUUUACUUGCUUUCUGAUGAAUUUGUGUAAAACGUGAUAACGACACAAUAACCAUUUGCAAGACUUAGUUGAUUUGGUUUAUUUCAAAAGGUCAAGUUCUUGGACACACAUAAGCUGGAAAAUAAAUUAAGUGGGGAACAAUAUUUAUUGACAUGAUAGAGUAAAAGAAGUAAGUUGAUCCUAAAAAAUGAUUUAAAAGAAAAGUAUCCAAAAAAGAUAAUUCUUAAAAAUUAUCACUAUGUGAAAUCCCAAUACUACAGGUUACUAGUGAUACCAUUUUCCUACUAAUUUAUGCAAUUAUGGAGAAAACAUUAAUCUCUUUUCUCUUGUUGUUUCACUAAGUUUCGGUUAGUUCAGCUAUGACCCAAACCAACACUGCUUCUUCUGUUUAUUGCAAUGAAUUAUGAUGGUUUUAGUGUGUCUAAAGUUUGAAAUCUGGCAGUUUUUACCAUCAAGAAAAGUUAUGGAGAAAGCCCAAAAGCUUAGAAGUACUCUAACUAAAGAGAUGCUUUCCGGCACGAUGUCUACUAAUAUACUUGCCAUGACAUUUAGACAAGUGACUCUGCAACAUCUUUGGAACUUUGAACUAGUACUUUUUAUAACAGGAGCAGAAAGAAAUAUGAAUGAUCUAGAAACACAGAGAGAGGUGCUGCAGGAUACUGAUAGGUUGAGUUCUGUUAUUCCUUUCGUAUCAGCAGGUACCUCCAUCUUUUGCCAUCACCUCAUCAGAUGAACGGAGAUCGAGAUCCCUCUCGUGCCUACGAAUGAGAUAGGCUAGUGUUGUGUGUAGUAUUAAAGGUCCAAGGGUGUAACAAUUCUUCAGUUGUUAAUAUUAUUCCAUCAUUUGGUCUAUCUAUCUACCUUUAUCUUAUUGCACUUUGUAGAUUCAUAGUGGACUGUUUUGUGUCCUUGAAUCCGAAAUUUGUUCUCAUUGUGUUCAUCUUUU
This is a long non-coding RNA of Capsicum annuum, 954 nucleotides long. RefSeq lists it as uncharacterized. The transcript has 2 exons. The record is from RefSeq and is a predicted model, not a curated record. NCBI's taxonomy places the organism in Eukaryota, Viridiplantae, Streptophyta, Magnoliopsida, Solanales, Solanaceae.